GCGCGCCGCCAGCCGGGGGCUCGCGCCAGCCACGAGGGAGCGUCCGCGGCCCGCGCGCCCGCGCGGCGGAGGAGAGGUGAUAAGUGUGAUGCUUCCGUAAUACAUUUGGAUGUUGUCAGCUAAGUUCACUUCUGAACUAAGGGGUUCCUCCAAAUGUUGGCUGAAAUUUGUCCUUGCACAUCCCAAGGCUCGUCUGCAAAGUCUACAAUUCAUAAUGGAGCUACUGUACUGGCUAUUGGAAGGAGGAGAUUCUGAAGAUAAGGAGAUUCAGUGAUCGGUCUUUGAAAUUUCCUGUGAUGUGUUUCAAUCUAGAUGCAAAGGACAUGGAAAAAUCAAAGUGCUUGAGUGGUUUAAAUAUGUUUUGGAUGUUCCUGUUUAUAAACGAUAAUACUUUUCCAAUUAAAAUCCUCAGUUGUCAUGCAGAAGAAAGUUAAGCUCUACUUGAUUGCCAAUUUUACUGAAAAUGCUUAGUAUUUUACAGUAUCACUGAAUAUAUUUUGUUUAGCCAAAGUAUAGGAAAAAUAAAAUAAAUUGUAUAGGUUGACUUUUUUCUAAAAAUGUCUUUUUUCUAAAAAUGUCUUUAUUGGAUUGAAUGUUUAUGCCUGAAAAAAAAAGGUUCAAAAAAUUCCUUUUACCAUCAUAGUCAUUCUUUUGACAAUCAGUUAUUAUUAGACUCGAUUUAAAAUAAUUUUCUAAUAUGACUCUUACAUUUAUGGGAGGAAAAAGACUUGAAAGAUACUCCUGUGUGUAUUUUAAUUCUCUGUAGUAGUCCCUCUGGAAUAGAAUGUCUCUUCCUCAAACAAAUCUAUUGGCUCAUUUCAUAUAUGAGAAAAAGUUGCCCUAACUGGCAGAGUUUCAUCUCUGUAAAGAAGGCUGACAUCCACCUCCUUCACAGAAUCCCUGCAUCUGGGUAAUUGAGUAAUGACAGAUUACCUUGCCAUUGGGAAAUACCUUGUUGUGGCCUUUGUAGCAGCUACAGGAAGAUGGAAGAAUUCUUCUGUACAGACAGGUCUCCAGCCUCUUUGGUGUGGACACUGUGAAGGGGUACAUCUGGUGAGAAGGAGUGCUUAGGGAAGGAACUGGGAAGGUCCACAAAGGCUGAUGAUGACAAAGAAUCCAAGGGCUAUGAUGAAUUCUUAAGCUUAGAUCUCAGAGUCAUAAAGUAAAUUUAUUAGGCUAGAGAGAUUUCCUUUUUUAUUUUUGAUCUAACUUUAUUUUUUCAGAUUUAUAAGUUCACAUGCAGUUAUACAAAAUCAUACAGAAAUCUUUGAACACUACCCAGUUUCUCCUAAUAGUAACUUCUUGCAAUAUACUGUAUAGUACAGCAUCACAACCUGGAUAUUGACAUUGAUGCAGUCAAGAUAGAGAGCAUUUCUAUAACCAGGAGGAUCCCUCAUUACUGCCCUUUUAUAGCCACCCCUACUUCCAGACCAUCUCACUCCUCCCUUAACCCUGGCAACCACUAGCCUGUUCUCCAUUUCUAUAAAUUUGUCUUUAUAGGAAUGUUAUAUAAUUGCAAUUAAAGUGUGUAACCUUUUGGGGGUUGACUCAAACCCAGCAUCAUUUUCU
Macaca mulatta (Rhesus monkey) is the source of this 1569-nucleotide long non-coding RNA. NCBI's taxonomy places the organism in Eukaryota, Metazoa, Chordata, Mammalia, Primates, Cercopithecidae. The record is from Ensembl.